RNAcentral lists this small nuclear RNA (99 nucleotides) under Scedosporium apiospermum. The record is from RNAcentral. Lineage: Eukaryota; Fungi; Ascomycota; Sordariomycetes; Microascales; Microascaceae.
GCCUGCGGGCAAAUGGUCAAGUUGCAAAAAUACAGAGAAGAUUAGCAUGGUCCCUGCACAAGGAUGACACGCUCUAUCAAAGAGAAGCUGCUCAUUUUU